CCCUUAGAUGUUCUGGGUUGCACGCGCGCUACACUGACACUAUCAACGAGUGCUCCUGGUUUGAAAGGAUCGGGUAAUCUUUUGAAAUGGUGUCGUGAUGGGGAUAGAUCAUUGCAAUUAUUGAUCUUGAACGAGGAAUUCCUAGUAAAUGUGAGUCAUCAGCUCACGUUGAUUACGUCCCUGCCCUUUGUACACACCGCCCGUCGCUCCUACCGAUUGAGUGAACCGAUGAGUAGUCCGGAUUGCGAUCGACCUCGGUUAAUCGCGAGAAGUUCCGCAAAUCACUUCACUUAGAGGAAGGAGAAGUCGUAACA
Molecule: ribosomal RNA, 314 nt
Filed under: uncultured eukaryote
Lineage: Eukaryota
Description: partial 18S ribosomal RNA
Rfam family: Eukaryotic small subunit ribosomal RNA
Source: RNAcentral